Long non-coding RNA from Hyaena hyaena (striped hyena), 368 nucleotides. RefSeq lists it as uncharacterized. The transcript has 3 exons. Lineage: Eukaryota; Metazoa; Chordata; Mammalia; Carnivora; Hyaenidae. The record is from RefSeq and is a predicted model, not a curated record.
AUGGGUCUGUCAGGGAUUGCCACUUGAAUGAAGAGAGUCAGUCUGGAGGGGAAGCCAACAGAGGAAAGUAGAGCUGCUUCACAGAGGAAGCAGGUCUGAUGAAAAUGCUUGAGUAGCGGGAUCCAGCCAUACCUUAAGAAACAAAGGAAAGGUUGGAGGAAGGGUUGUCUGGGAGAAAGGAAGAUCUACUGAACAACUGCUGACACGUGAAACACAGGAUGGCGGCAACGGGAGGGCCCUGAGUGCGACCAUCUGCUAGACCCUAGGUCCCAUGGCCUUUCCAGAAGGCCGUGUGGGUCCUAAGAAGUGAGUUCACAGCCCGACCCAACAAAAGCACGUUGGCUUUCUCGCCAUGGCCAUGGGGUCAU